GUGCAGCACAUACACUGAAAUUUGAAUGAUACAGAGCAGAGGAGCAUGGCCCCUGCACCAGGAUGACACACAAAUUCGUGACGCAUUCCAUAUUUUU
Molecule: small nuclear RNA, 97 nt
Filed under: Zalophus californianus (California sea lion)
Lineage: Eukaryota; Metazoa; Chordata; Mammalia; Carnivora; Otariidae
Source: RNAcentral